RNAcentral lists this ribosomal RNA (481 nucleotides) under uncultured bacterium. RNAcentral describes it as "partial 16S ribosomal RNA". It matches the Rfam family "Bacterial small subunit ribosomal RNA", at positions 30 to 506 of the family's 1533-position model. The record is from RNAcentral.
AUUGAACGCUGGCGGCAUGCUUUACACAUGCAAGUCGAACGGUAACAGGCCGCAAGGUGCUGACGAGUGGCGAACGGGUGAGUAAUGCAUCGGAACGUGCCCAGCCGUGGGGGAUAACUACUCGAAAGAGUAGCUAAUACCGCAUACGAUCUAUGGAUGAAAGCGGGGGACCGUAAUGCCUCGCGCGAUUGGAGCGGCCGAUGUCAGAUUAGGUAGUUGGUGGGGUAAAGGCUCACCAAGCCAACGAUCUGUAGCUGGUCUGAGAGGACGACCAGCCACGCUGGGACUGAGACACGGCCCAGGCUCCUACGGGAGGCAGCAGUGGGGAAUUUUGGACGAUGGGCGCAAGCCUGAUCCAGCAAUGCCGCGUGCAGGAAGAAGGCCUUCGGGUUGUAAACUGCUUUUGUACGGAACGAAACGGCUCUGGUUAAUACCCGGGGCUAAUGACGGUACCGUAAGAAUAAGCACCGGCUAACUACGU